This 254-nucleotide ribosomal RNA is filed under the name uncultured bacterium. RNAcentral describes it as "partial 16S ribosomal RNA". It matches the Rfam family "Bacterial small subunit ribosomal RNA", at positions 524 to 776 of the family's 1533-position model. The record is from RNAcentral.
GACGAACCGUGCGAACGUUAUUCGGAAUCACUGGGCUUAAAGCGCGUGUAGGCGGGACGGCACGUCGGUCGCUGAAAUCCCCCGGCUCAACCGGGGAACGGGCGCCGAUACGACCGGCCUGGAGGGGCGUAGGGGGACCUGGAACUUCCGGUGGAGCGGUGAAAUGCGUUGAGAUCGGAAGGAACGCCCGUGGCGAAAGCGAGGUCCUGGACGCCUACUGACGCUGAGACGCGAAAGCCAGGGGAGCGAACGGG